CCCACUCCGCCAUCAUUUGUCUGUGAGUCCCGGAUGCUGUGGACACCCCCGGCGCUGCUCCUCAGAUCCUGGGUUUGGAUCGAAUGUCCCUGAAGCUAAUAAGUAGAGAGUUUUGGGAAGGAGAAUCUAGAGCCAAGGCACAACAGUUCUCUCCUUAUCCACUACAUUCCCUUCUCUCCCAGCUAAACUGCCAGAGUGCUUUAUGGGUUUACAAGAGCUACAAAAGAUGAAGUGUUUGCAGAUGGUCUGCCAGCCACUGGAGUGCCUUGACACAAGAAGGGUCACCAGCAGAGAUAAAGAAAGGAGGAGGAGGUCUCUCCCCACAGUGCCUAUUUCAGAGUGACGGAAGAGGCUCUGUGAUUGUAUUGGGGGACCUGAUCAUGCCUCAGCAUUGGACAGAUCAUUUGGGCAGCAAAUCAACAACGUAACCAUUAUUCUAUCAGAAGGGGAGAAGAAAUCUAGGGUAAUUA
Cynocephalus volans (Philippine flying lemur) is the source of this 470-nucleotide long non-coding RNA. RefSeq lists it as uncharacterized. The record is from RefSeq and is a predicted model, not a curated record. NCBI's taxonomy places the organism in Eukaryota, Metazoa, Chordata, Mammalia, Dermoptera, Cynocephalidae. The transcript has 3 exons.